RNAcentral lists this ribosomal RNA (519 nucleotides) under uncultured bacterium. RNAcentral's name for it is "bacterial SSU rRNA". It matches the Rfam family "Bacterial small subunit ribosomal RNA", at positions 8 to 518 of the family's 1533-position model. The record is from RNAcentral.
AGGGUUCGAUUCUGGCUCAGGAUGAACGCUAGCGACAGGCUUAACACAUGCAAGUCGAGGGGCAGCACGGGAGUAGCAAUACAACUGGUGGCGACCGGCGCACGGGUGAGUAACGCGUAUGCAACCUACCUAUCAGAGGGGAAUAACCCGGCGAAAGUCGGACUAAUACCGCAUAAAACAGGGGCACCGCAUGGUGAUAUUUGUUAAAGAAAUUCGCUGAUAGAUGGGCAUGCGUUCCAUUAGGUAGUUGGUGAGGUAACGGCUCACCAAGCCGACGAUGGAUAGGGGAACUGAGAGGUUGGUCCCCCACACUGGUACUGAGACACGGACCAGACUCCUACGGGAGGCAGCAGUGAGGAAUAUUGGUCAAUGGGCGGGAGCCUGAACCAGCCAAGUCGCGUGAAGGAAGAAGGAUCUAUGGUUCGUAAACUUCUUUUGCAGGGGAAUAAAGUGCGGGACGUGUCCUGUUUUGUAUGUACCCUGAGAAUAAGGAUCGGCUAACUCCGUGCCAGCCGCAGC